AGCGAACGCUGGCGGCAGGCUUAACACAUGCAAGUCGAGCGGGCACUUUCGGGUGUCAGCGGCGGACGGGUGAGUAACGCGUGGGAACGUGCCCUCUGGUUCGGAAUAACUCCGGGAAACUUGAGCUAAUACCGGAUACGCCCUUUUGGGGAAAGGCUUGCUGCCGGAGGAUCGGCCCGCGUCUGAUUAGCUAGUUGGUGAGGUAACGGCUCACCAAGGCGACGAUCAGUAGCUGGUCUGAGAGGAUGAUCAGCCACACUGGGACUGAGACACGGCCCAGACUCCUACGGGAGGCAGCAGUGGGGAAUAUUGGACAAUGGGCGCAAGCCUGAUCCAGCCAUGCCGCGUGAGUGAUGAAGGCCUUAGGGUUGUAAAGCUCUUUUAUCCGGGACGAUAAUGACGGUACCGGAGGAAUAAGCCCCGGCUAACUUCGUG
Molecule: ribosomal RNA, 435 nt
Filed under: uncultured bacterium
Lineage: Bacteria
Description: partial 16S ribosomal RNA
Rfam family: Bacterial small subunit ribosomal RNA
Source: RNAcentral